This 882-nucleotide ribosomal RNA is filed under the name Exserohilum fusiforme. RNAcentral's name for it is "partial 28S ribosomal RNA". It matches the Rfam family "Eukaryotic large subunit ribosomal RNA", at positions 64 to 964 of the family's 3401-position model. Lineage: Eukaryota; Fungi; Ascomycota; Dothideomycetes; Pleosporales; Pleosporaceae. The record is from RNAcentral.
ACCAACAGGGAUUGCCCUAGUAACGGCGAGUGAAGCGGCAACAGCUCAAAUUUGAAAUCUGGCUCUUUCAGAGUCCGAGUUGUAAUUUGCAGAGGGCGCUUUGGCUUUGGCAGCGGUCCAAGUUCCUUGGAACAGGACGUCACAGAGGGUGAGAAUCCCGUACGUGGUCGCUAGCUAUUGCCGUGUAAAGCCCCUUCGACGAGUCGAGUUGUUUGGGAAUGCAGCUCUAAAUGGGAGGUAAAUUUCUUCUAAAGCUAAAUAUUGGCCAGAGACCGAUAGCGCACAAGUAGAGUGAUCGAAAGAUGAAAAGCACUUUGGAAAGAGAGUCAAACAGCACGUGAAAUUGUUGAAAGGGAAGCGCUUGCAGCCAGACUUGCUUGCAGUUGCUCAUCCGGGCUUUUGCCCGGUGCACUCUUCUGCAGGCAGGCCAGCAUCAGUUUGGGCGGUGGGAUAAAGGUCUCUGUCAUGUACCUCUCUUCGGGGAGGCCUUAUAGGGGAGGCGACAUACCACCAGCCUAGACUGAGGUCCGCGCAUCUGCUAGGAUGCUGGCGUAAUGGCUGUAAGCGGCCCGUCUUGAAACACGGACCAAGGAGUCUAACAUCUAUGCGAGUGUUUGGGUGUCAAGCCCGAGCGCGUAAUGAAAGUGAACGGAGGUGGGAACCCGCAAGGGUGCACCAUCGACCGAUCCUGAAGUUUACGGAAGGAUUUGAGUAAGAGCAUGGCUGUUGGGACCCGAAAGAUGGUGAACUAUGCUUGAAUAGGGUGAAGCCAGAGGAAACUCUGGUGGAGGCUCGCAGCGGUUCUGACGUGCAAAUCGAUCGUCAAAUUUGGGCAUAGGGGCGAAAGACUAAUCGAACUAUCUAGUAGCUGGUUCCUGCCGA